AUAAUACUCCCUCUGUCCCAAAAUUAUUGUCUUAGAUUUGUCUAGAUAUGGAUGUAUCCGACACUAAAGCGUGACUACAUACAUCUGUAUCUAGACAAAUCUGAGACAAGAAUUUUGGGAUGGAGGUAAUAGUUU
Molecule: non-coding RNA, 135 nt
Organism: Triticum aestivum (bread wheat)
Lineage: Eukaryota; Viridiplantae; Streptophyta; Magnoliopsida; Poales; Poaceae
Source: Rfam